GAUGAAGAACGCAGCGAAAUGCGAUAAGUAAUGUGAAUUGCAGAAUUCAGUGAAUCAUCGAAUCUUUGAACGCACAUUGCGCCCGCCAGUAUUCUGGCGGGCAUGCCUGUUCGAGCGUCAUUUCAACCAUCAAGCCCCCGGCUUGUGUUGGGGAUCUGCGGCUGCCGCAGGCCCUGAAAAGCAGUGGCGGGCUCGCUGUCACACCGAGCGUAGUAGCAUACAUCUCGCUCUGGGCGUGCUGCGGGUUCCGGCCGUUAAACCACCUUCAUAACCCAAGGUUGACCUCGGAUCAGGUAGGAAGACCCGCUGAACUUAAGCAUAUCAAUAAGCGGAGGA
RNAcentral lists this unclassified non-coding RNA (336 nucleotides) under soil metagenome. RNAcentral's name for it is "partial contains 5.8S ribosomal RNA, internal transcribed spacer 2, and large subunit ribosomal RNA". The stretch from base 1 to 120 matches the Rfam family "5.8S ribosomal RNA", at positions 35 to 154 of the family's 154-position model. The record is from RNAcentral.